Rattus norvegicus (Norway rat) is the source of this 854-nucleotide long non-coding RNA. RefSeq lists it as uncharacterized. Lineage: Eukaryota; Metazoa; Chordata; Mammalia; Rodentia; Muridae. The record is from RefSeq and is a predicted model, not a curated record.
CAACAGACCUGGCAUCACCUGAGAAGGGAGAAAGGCUCUGACAUCACAGUAUGUGGUGGUGACAUCACAUCUCCUGAGCUCCGUGGAUAUGGGAAUUCUACUUAUCCCAUCUUUUCCCUCUCUAUCCCCAGAAUCUAGAGAAGCGGUUGGCAAAGCACACAGACACUGUCUAGAGCUCUGUGAAUGGAGUCACACAGUGCACAGCCAUGAAGACUUCAUCAUAAGGCAAAGUAGAGUCUCCAAGGCACAGAAUUCCAAGGCCAGACUAAGAAUUCAACUGAAUUUGACUACAGGGCUCCUUGAUUUUCAGAAGACACUGCUCUUCCUCCUUAGAGAGCUGGGCUUCCUGUUUCCUUGGUCCCGAUUUGCUGCCUGCAGUGAUAGAAUCCUCAGCCCACUGCAACGCUUAAAGCAGAGGUUUCCCACAGCGAGAAGAGAUAUUGCAUUUGGAGUUAGACAAAGGCGUAGGACCUGGGAGUCUGCUCGUUUAACCUGUGCCUGUGAAGAACCCCUCUUGGAAGCGCCACUUUAGUGAUCAAUUCAGAUCUCUACAGAUGCCCUCACAUUGUGUGUUCUUUGACAUGCAAAGAGAAGUUAAAAUUGCCUCAGAAAUUAUGAUCCCCUGGACACCUUUAACUACUGACUUGCAGGUGAAGUCCUGUGAAACUCACACUUGCUGGCAAAAGGUUGGAGUUACUUUUGGGGAUCAUGCAGGGCUGAAGCCAUCUUGAAAAGCACCAUAAGAAGAUCCCCCUCUAUCUGGACAACAAAAACCAGACUCAUAUUCGCAUCCUCACUGACAUUAGCCCCUCUAUUUCCUCAUGUCCUUUGUAGAAUAAACGCAUAAAGAUGAA